RNAcentral lists this ribosomal RNA (527 nucleotides) under uncultured bacterium. RNAcentral's name for it is "partial 16S ribosomal RNA". It matches the Rfam family "Bacterial small subunit ribosomal RNA", at positions 355 to 898 of the family's 1533-position model. The record is from RNAcentral.
UGGGGAAUAUUGCACAAUGGGCGAAAGCCUGAUGCAGCAACGCCGCGUGAGUGAUGAAGGUCUUCGGAUUGUAAAGCUCUGUCUUUUGGGACGAUAAUGACGGUACCAAAGGAGGAAGCCACGGCUAACUACGUGCCAGCAGCCGCGGUAAUACGUAGGUGGCGAGCGUUGUCCGGAUUUACUGGGCGUAAAGGGUGCGUAGGCGGAUGUUUAAGUGAGAUGUGAAAUACCCGGGCUUAACUUGGGUGCUGCAUUUCAAACUGGAUAUCUAGAGUGCAGGAGAGGAGAAUGGAAUUCCUAGUGUAGCGGUGAAAUGCGUAGAGAUUAGGAAGAACACCAGUGGCGAAAGCGAUUCUCUGGACUGUAACUGACGCUGAGGCACGAAAGCGUGGGUAGCAAACAGGAUUAGAUACCCUGGUAGUCCACGCCGUAAACGAUGAGUACUAGGUGUAGGAGGUAUCGACCCCUUCUGUGCCGCAGUAAACACAUUAAGUACUCCGCCUGGGAAGUACGAUCGCAAGAUUAAA